Non-coding RNA from Rattus norvegicus (Norway rat), 1611 nucleotides. The record is from RefSeq and is a predicted model, not a curated record. NCBI's taxonomy places the organism in Eukaryota, Metazoa, Chordata, Mammalia, Rodentia, Muridae.
UCUGAAGUGUGUGACAAGUUCCAGGGCCCAGAGGGAAAAAUAUUCAAUUCCCAAUGAGCACCCCACCCUCGACAAAUGCAGGAGAGACAUGGGGGUCCUUCAAGCUUUCGUCGAAAAAUAAGAGUCAUGAGUGAAAAAGAAGGAAUUGAAGGGGGGCUUGGGGGGGAGGCUCUAUGUCUUUUCUUACUGGACUCAAACUUUCCUAAGUGCCCACCACCAGCCUCUCCCAGCACACCUCAAGUAGAGAUUAUCGUCACCGCCACUAACACUUUACAUAAACUCACAGAAACCCCUGCCCAAGACAGGCCCAGGGUAGAGGGCAAGAACCCAAAGGUGAGGCUCACUGAGUGCGGGGACCCUGCACCCCCAAAAUGCACACUCAACACACUUCUCCUGCCCCGCCCCCUCCCCAACCUAGCCAAGAAACUGCUUUGGUCCGAGAGGCUACUGGCCAGAUUUGGGGGGGGGGGGCUGUAAGCACGUGGUAACCUCUCAACGGCCCCAGAGUUAAGGACAAGAGGAACCUAAAAGAGUACCCCGGGUGCAGUUGAAGGGACUAGCAAAACUCGCCUUUACAGUUGCUUUGCAAAAUUAAAAAAAAAAAAAUGUUUUGCAAAACCGAGUUUCAUCCAGCAGCUUUCGCUGUCUGAGAGGUCGGUGGGAGGGUUGGGUAUUGUGCUAGGGGCGGACCAGAGCGCAGGCCGGGCUGGCGGAGUCGCAGCGUGGCCUGCCGCCCUGCCUGGCGGGUGGGCGGCGAGCGCCGGGUGGGCGAUCUCGACUCCAGACUAGGGCACGGCGAGGUCGGGCGAGGCCCAGCCGCUGCGGCCGCCUGCUCCAGGGCUGCCGCGGCGCGCUCGGUCCUCUGUCUGUUUGUUGGCAGGAGGCUCCCGCACACGCGGUGCUUGUAAACAUUCAGACACGAGAUUUUUCCCAAUCAAAAUCCACUUCCACUUUUUUUGAAAAUCUUCCAAAAAAUAGGCUCACCCAGGAGGGGCGGGCAGCAGCAACCCAGCAGCGGAGACUCCUGCACCCGCCCGCCCUCCCUCUACCGCGUGCCCCUGGCUGCCUCUUCGCUCGGCCCUUGCUCCUGCCCUUCGGCAGCGGUGGCGGCGCAGGAGGGCAAGCGCGAGGAGCCCGCACAAAAGGCGGCGGGACAAACACCCACCUCCGGCCGGAACAAAAGACGGCAGCGCCGGGCGCGACUCCGGUCCUUCCCGGUCACCCGGCCCUCCCAGCCGCUGCAGCCCCUCUCCCCGGACUCGGCUGACUGGGAAGCGCCAGCGGCUCUCUUCUACAGUCCCACUUUCGUACUAUUGUGGGGGUGACUACUUUCCUCCCACUGCACACUUGACCAUGCACACGUUGGCGUCCUAAGGCCGGUCUCACCUCUUUUCUCCCCAGGAAUUGUUUUUCAGACUUGACUCCCUCCCUCCCCCCCCCUCCAUUUUCCUAUAGUGAAGUGGAAACAACCCCCUUUCCUUCAAGCUCCCACCCCCAGGUUUGCAUGUGAGUGUCCGCGUCCUUAGCAUUGUUCAUUAUUUUUGCAAAACUAGGGUAGAAAUCAUUGCAUUCCUUUUUCAAAGAAGGAAUAAAGCGGCGGAGAGAAGGAAA